AGGGAGGCCAUGUGAAUGGAUUAAGCACCUGCUGACUGAUAUUGGAACUGUCAUUUCCAAGGGUUCAAGUUGCGACAUACAGUUGACCAACUGGAUUGCAAAAGGGCACGCAGCCCAAACAACAAAUGCAAAAGGAUGCAAGGUUUUCUUUGGAUCUCAACUUUUGUAAAGCAGGGGAACAGAAAUAAAGAGCACCAUCGUCUACGAGAAUGAAGUCUCUGACUUCGGUUACAAAAGAUGGACAUCAGCAAGUGCUGAAUCAACAGACAGGUCUUCCCGGGACUCAACCCAAGGAAAGUGACGGGCCUGGACGAUGUCCCCAGCCAAGCACUCAGAUCCUGUGCAGACCAACU
Molecule: long non-coding RNA, 353 nt
Organism: Rhincodon typus (whale shark)
Lineage: Eukaryota; Metazoa; Chordata; Chondrichthyes; Orectolobiformes; Rhincodontidae
Exons: 3
Source: RefSeq, a predicted model, not a curated record